GCCAGACUCCUGCGGGAGGCAGCAGUGGGGAAUAUUGCACAAUGGGGGGAACCCUGAUGCAGCGACGCCGCGUGAAGGAAGAAGUAUUUCGGUAUGUAAACUUCUAUCAGCAGGGAAGAAAAUGACGGUACCUGACUAAGAAGCCCCGGCUAACUACGUGCCAGCAGCCGCGGUAAUACGUAGGGGGCAAGCGUUAUCCGGAUUUACUGGGUGUAAAGGGGGCGUAGACGGUGAUGCAAGUCAGAAGUGAAAGCCCGGGGCUCAACUCCGGGACUGCUUUUGAAACUGUGUGACUGGAGUGCAGGAGAGGUAAGCGGAAUUCCUGGUGUAGCGGCGAAAUGCGUAGAUAUCAGGAGGAACACCAGUGGCGAAGGCGGCUUACUGGACUGUAACUGACGUUGAGGCUCGAAAGCGUGGGGAGCAAACAGGAUUAGAUACCCCAGUAA
Molecule: ribosomal RNA, 446 nt
Filed under: uncultured bacterium
Lineage: Bacteria
Description: bacterial SSU rRNA
Rfam family: Bacterial small subunit ribosomal RNA
Source: RNAcentral